RNAcentral lists this ribosomal RNA (1513 nucleotides) under metagenome. Its description in RNAcentral is "bacterial SSU rRNA". It matches the Rfam family "Bacterial small subunit ribosomal RNA". The record is from RNAcentral.
AGAAUUUGAUCCUGGUUCAGAGCGAACGCUGGCGGCGCGCUUAACACAUGCAAGUCGCACGAGAAAGCGAGGGCAACUUCGCGAGUAAAGUGGCGAACGGGUGCGUAAUACACAACCAAUCUGCCCUGAGGACUGGCACAACCCCGGGAAACUGGGGCUAAUUCCGGAUGUCAUGCCGGGAUCGCAUGGUCUCGUCAUGAAAGGCACCUCGCAAGGGGUGCGCCACGGGAGGAGGUUGUGGCCUAUCAGCUAGUUGGCGGGGUAACGGCCCACCAAGGCUAUGACGGGUAGCCGGUCUGAGAGGAUGAUCGGCCACAAGGGGACUGAGACACUGCCCCUACUCCUACGGGAGGCAGCAGUGGGGAAUCUUGGGCAAUGGGCGAAAGCCUGACCCAGCGACGCCGCGUGGAGGAUGAAGGCCUUCGGGUCGUAAACUCCUGUCACGGGGGAAGAAAAACCGGCCCGUAAGGGCCGGCUUGACGCCACCCCGGGAGGAAGCACCGGCUAACUCCGUGCCAGCAGCUGCGGUAAUACGGAGAGUGCAAGCGUUGCUCGGAUUCACUGGGCUUAAAGGGCACGUAGGCGGUCAGGCGACCCAUGCGUGAAAGCCUUCCGCUCAACGGAAGAAUUGCGCGUGGAAUUACCCGACUAGAGGACGGUAGGGGAGCGUGGAACUCCUGGUGGAGCGGUGAAAUGCGUAGAUAUCAGGAGGAACGCCGGAGGCGAAAGCGACGCUCUGGGCCGUCCCUGACGCUGAGGUGCGAAAAGCCAGGGGAGCAAACGGGAUUAGAUACCCCGGUAGUCCUGGCCGUAAACGAUGGACACUGGCUAAGGGAGGGCUAGUCCCUUCCUUGGUGUAGCGAAAGCGUUAAGUGUCCCGCCUGGGGAGUACGGUCGCAAGGCUAAAACUCAAAGGAAUUGACGGGGGCUCGCACAAGCGGUGGAGCAUGUGGUUCAAUUCGAUACUACGCGAAGAACCUUACCUGGGUUUGACAUGCUCGUAGUAGGACCCUGAAAGGGGAACGACUCGUUAAGCCGAGAGCGAGCACAGGUGUUGCAUGGCUGUCGUCAGCUCGUGUCGUGAGAUGUUGGGUUAAGUCCCGUAACGAGCGAAACCCUUGCCCUUAGUUGCUACGACCGCAAGGUCAGCACUCUGAGGGGACUGCCCGUGUCGAAUGGGAGGAAGGUGGGGACGACGUCAAGUCAUCAUGGCCCUUAUACCCAGGGCUACACACGUGCCACAAUGGCCGGUACAAAGGGUUGCCAACCCGCAAGGGGGAGCCAAUCUCUAAAAACCGGUCCCAGUUCGGAUCGGGGGCUGCAACUCGCCCCCGUGAAGCCGGAAUCGCUAGUAAUCGCGGAUCAGCCACGCCGCGGUGAAUAUGUUCCCGAACCUUGUACACACCGCCCGUCAAGCCACCCAAGCACGGGGUGUCUAAAGUCGCGAACCCAACCGCAAGGAGGGCCGCGCCCAAGACAAAACGUGUGAGGAGGGCUAAGUCGUAACAAGGUA